Pimephales promelas (fathead minnow) is the source of this 782-nucleotide non-coding RNA. NCBI's taxonomy places the organism in Eukaryota, Metazoa, Chordata, Actinopteri, Cypriniformes, Leuciscidae. The record is from RefSeq and is a predicted model, not a curated record.
UGUUAUUCUAUGAUUCCCUCAGUGUCAGUUUCAAGAGCCGAUUCGAUCCAAAGCAUCAACAGAAGUUUAGCUGUGAUUGAGUUCACUGAUGCCAGAUCAGGUCAUGUGACGCUCUAACCAGUGAAGUCAACAAGUCAGAUGUUACAGUCUGAUGCUGAACAGACCAGAGAUAUCAGUUCAUAUUUUGAAAGAAUUGCAGUAAGAAAGAAGAAAAAGCAAGAUGACAGUGACCAGACCUUUUUGGAGGACCAGUUGUUUACUUCAUCAUCAUCAUCAUCAUAAUCAUCAUCAUUAGAAAAGGCACAUUAUGAGGAACCACAUGGACAUUUUCCUGUUGCAUUUCUGGAAAAAGAACAGAAACAUUCUGUUUAGGCUUGGACAUUAUUUAGCAUGAGACAAUUUCUUGAUGAACUGUAAAUAAAAAUCAUAUUGCACAAGAAAAUGCAAUGUUUAAUAUUACAUUAACCAGAAUAUGAAUUUAUAGCCAAAUAUUCUAUGCGUCAUGAUCAAACGUCCUGCUACACCAAUGAAAUGCUGUGAUUUGUACAUUUAACCAGCUCAAAACCCCUGUGAAGUUUGUGGGAUUCGGGUAAUUUGGAAAAUACAUACAUAAUGAAAACAGUAAUGCUUGAAAAUUUCUUUUGAAAAUUCAUUUGGAUUGUCUAAGGGUUUUAUGUUCAUGUCAUGUACUGUAAUAUGCAGGAUGUCAGCACCUCACUGGAGAGAGAAAACUGUGUUUUAUUAUUUAAAAGAUUUAUAAUAAAUAAAAGAAGGUCAUUAUA